This 1393-nucleotide ribosomal RNA is filed under the name Staphylococcus aureus. Its description in RNAcentral is "partial 23S ribosomal RNA". It matches the Rfam family "Bacterial large subunit ribosomal RNA", at positions 1 to 1396 of the family's 2925-position model. Lineage: Bacteria; Bacillati; Bacillota; Bacilli; Caryophanales; Staphylococcaceae. The record is from RNAcentral.
GAUUAAGUUAUUAAGGGCGCACGGUGGAUGCCUUGGCACUAGAAGCCGAUGAAGGACGUUACUAACGACGAUAUGCUUUGGGGAGCUGUAAGUAAGCUUUGAUCCAGAGAUUUCCGAAUGGGGAAACCCAGCAUGAGUUAUGUCAUGUUAUCGAUAUGUGAAUACAUAGCAUAUCAGAAGGCACACCCGGAGAACUGAAACAUCUUAGUACCCGGAGGAAGAGAAAGAAAAUUCGAUUCCCUUAGUAGCGGCGAGCGAAACGGGAAGAGCCCAAACCAACAAGCUUGCUUGUUGGGGUUGUAGGACACUCUAUACGGAGUUACAAAGGACGACAUUAGACGAAUCAUCUGGAAAGAUGAAUCAAAGAAGGUAAUAAUCCUGUAGUCGAAAAUGUUGUCUCUCUUGAGUGGAUCCUGAGUACGACGGAGCACGUGAAAUUCCGUCGGAAUCUGGGAGGACCAUCUCCUAAGGCUAAAUACUCUCUAGUGACCGAUAGUGAACCAGUACCGUGAGGGAAAGGUGAAAAGCACCCCGGAAGGGGAGUGAAAUAGAACCUGAAACCGUGUGCUUACAAGUAGUCAGAGCCCGUUAAUGGGUGAUGGCGUGCCUUUUGUAGAAUGAACCGGCGAGUUACGAUUUGAUGCAAGGUUAAGCAGUAAAUGUGGAGCCGUAGCGAAAGCGAGUCUGAAUAGGGCGUUUAGUAUUUGGUCGUAGACCCGAAACCAGGUGAUCUACCCUUGGUCAGGUUGAAGUUCAGGUAACACUGAAUGGAGGACCGAACCGACUUACGUUGAAAAGUGAGCGGAUGAACUGAGGGUAGCGGAGAAAUUCCAAUCGAACCUGGAGAUAGCUGGUUCUCUCCGAAAUAGCUUUAGGGCUAGCCUCAAGUGAUGAUUAUUGGAGGUAGAGCACUGUUUGGACGAGGGGCCCCUCUCGGGUUACCGAAUUCAGACAAACUCCGAAUGCCAAUUAAUUUAACUUGGGAGUCAGAACAUGGGUGAUAAGGUCCGUGUUCGAAAGGGAAACAGCCCAGACCACCAGCUAAGGUCCCAAAAUAUAUGUUAAGUGGAAAAGGAUGUGGCGUUGCCCAGACAACUAGGAUGUUGGCUUAGAAGCAGCCAUCAUUUAAAGAGUGCGUAAUAGCUCACUAGUCGAGUGACACUGCGCCGAAAAUGUACCGGGGCUAAACAUAUUACCGAAGCUGUGGAUUGUCCUUUGGACAAUGGUAGGAGAGCGUUCUAAGGGCGUUGAAGCAUGAUCGUAAGGACAUGUGGAGCGCUUAGAAGUGAGAAUGCCGGUGUGAGUAGCGAAAGACGGGUGAGAAUCCCGUCCACCGAUUGACUAAGGUUUCCAGAGGAAGGCUCGUCCGCUCUGGGUUAGUCGGGUCCUAAGC